RNAcentral lists this transfer RNA (65 nucleotides) under human gut metagenome. It matches the Rfam family "tRNA", at positions 5 to 66 of the family's 71-position model. From Rfam's summary of the family: Transfer RNA (tRNA) molecules are approximately 80 nucleotides in length. Their secondary structure includes four short double-helical elements and three loops (D, anti-codon, and T loops). The record is from RNAcentral. RNAcentral also lists the same sequence under 1 other name.
CCGUGGCCUAGUGGAUAGGGCAUCUGACUCCGACUCAGAAGACCGUGGGUUCGAAUCCCGCCGGG